This 217-nucleotide ribosomal RNA is filed under the name uncultured bacterium. RNAcentral describes it as "partial 16S ribosomal RNA". It matches the Rfam family "Bacterial small subunit ribosomal RNA", at positions 29 to 226 of the family's 1533-position model. The record is from RNAcentral.
AACGAACGCUGGCGGCGUGCCUAACACAUGCAAGUCGUGCGGGAAAGUUCCCUUCGGGGAGCGAGUAUAGCGGCGCACGGGUGAGUAAUACGUAGGUAACCUGCCCUCAAGUUCGGGACAACCUGUCGAAAGACGGGCUAAUACCGGAUGAGACCACGAGAGCUGCGGCUCUUAGGGGUCAAAGGUGGCCUCUGCUUGCAAGCUAUCGCUUGAGGAU